Molecule: non-coding RNA, 1972 nt
Organism: Podarcis lilfordi (Lilford's wall lizard)
Lineage: Eukaryota; Metazoa; Chordata; Lepidosauria; Squamata; Lacertidae
Source: the annotation of a GenBank genome assembly
GCCCGGAAGGUAGUUCAAUUCCUUUAUGUAGGUCCUCUCCGUGUGUAGCCAAAAAUUUAUCUCUCUCUUCCAAUGUUCUGAUUUUAACCUUUCUCGCUCUAAAGGUAAAAGAUAAUCCUUGGGGAAAAUCCCACCUGAAUGGAAUUGCGUUGCUCCUUAAUAGUUUAGCAAGUUCGGAAUAGGCGGCUCUAAGGUCCAACAGUUGUCUUGGGAUAUCUUUAUAUAUCUCAAUUCUUCUAUCCAAAACUUCCAGUGACUUUUCGUAAUGUAGGCCCAAAAUCUUAUCCCUUUCCUCCUUCGAUCUCAAUGUAAUCAAACAAUCCCUGGGCCUCUCCUUCUUUGUAAAUCUUCCAAGUCUGAAAGCUGACACAAUUUUAAAGUCCUUUUCUUCCAAAUUCCAGAACUUGGAAAGUUCUUUGGUCAAAAACUCAGUUAGAUUUCCUUCUUCUGCCUCUUGUAAUGAUCUAAUCCUCAGAUUAUUCUCACGAUUUCGCAGUUCUAUCAUAGAAAGAUAAGUCUGAUGUUCCCCAACUUGUUUAGUGAGUGGUCUUACCUCUUGCUCUAAAUUUUCCAAUUUUUGUCUGGUAUCCUCAGCCAAUUUUCGGUUUUCUACUGAGGCCUCCGUCAACUGUCCAAUUGCUUGUGUAUUCUGUCCCACCUGUGUAGUUAAUUUGUUUAGACAAUCUGUAUUUUUAUCAAUCUUUGCUGAUUGCGCAUCUACUUUCUUGUCCAAAGCUUCCAAUUUUUCAAAGAUUUUUUCUAGCACAGAAACAGAUGCUCCUGAGGCCAUAUCUUCCAAUUGUAACUGCUCUACUUCACCCUCUCCCUCUUUUGCCUGUGACAAGGCAGCUUCUUCAAGUUGUACUUCUGAGGGCAAAGUAGGCACAGAUGAUCUACGUGUCUGCGAGGUUGAGGUUAGAUUUGUUAGAGUUGUUUGUCUAACUCUUCCUCUUCUUCUUGUACCACUCAUUCCAAUGUUAUCUAUCAGUCAAGGUCACACUGAGUUUUUCCCACAGGAAUAGAGAGGCCCAGAGCAAGCAGACAGCAAGAGAAUCGAAAGUAAAUGUUUUUAUAAAGUCACUGUUUUAAUCCAAUCCUCUAGGGGGAGCUUAAAGUGUCUUUUCAGAGUCUAAUUUAAUGUCCCAGAACCUUCCAAUAUAAGUAUUAAGCAGAGUUUAAAAGUAAUCACUUUGUUGCAGACAGUGCUUAUUUGUCUCCAAAAGAAUGUUUCAAAUUUAAAAGGUCUCAAUACCCUCAGAUUGUUGCAACUUCUAAUAUACAGUAUCCAAGUCAAACACUGACAGCCCACUGUUACAGUGCUCAAGCAAUCCUGACUCUGGGUUUCACCUUCCAAUUUGUAAUCCAAUAAAAGGGGGAAAGUCAAGUGCAAAUAAAAGGUCCAAAUCUUUAACUUGCUAAUUUUACUUUAAAUUGUAAGUUCCAUAGAUGCUUGGCUGUGUGGAGUUUAAAAUCUCUUUCUUUCAGCCUCCACUCCUCCACUUUAGUUGCUUUUUUUCCAAGUUCAAUGGCAGCGGAAGACGGACUUCCUGUUUCCACGUCUCUCCGCUUUCAGCCAAAUUCAAGUCAAUUUAAACCUUCUCAUUUAAAAUUUGUAAUUCCAAGUGAUUCAGUCUUUACUCACGAGUAAGUUGUUUUCUGCCAGAUCCGAAUUUUAGCAGGAAAAGGGUUCAGCGCUCACCGGCAGCAGCAGCGCGGCUUCACUCCGCUGACUGUGAAACGGCUCACAGCGCCGCAGCCCCCCUCCACGCUCCGGAGCCUCUUACGAGGCUCCUUCUGCAGCUGGAGGGCUGCUCUUGGCGCCCGCCGAGCCUCAGGACCCCAGGCUCUUGCUGCCUGGGGUUUUUCUCCUUGGGUCUCCGCUUCGCCGUAGCGGACGACCCGGUUUCAGCGGAGCUUCUUCUCCGAUCGGGAGAAGACCGCCAUUACCGUUCGCGCCGCCCCCCGGAAGUCC